RNAcentral lists this ribosomal RNA (253 nucleotides) under uncultured bacterium. RNAcentral's name for it is "partial 16S ribosomal RNA". It matches the Rfam family "Bacterial small subunit ribosomal RNA", at positions 524 to 776 of the family's 1533-position model. The record is from RNAcentral.
UACGGGGGGAGCAAGUGUUGUCGGAUUUACUGGGCGUAAAGGGCGCGUAGGCGGUCGUGACAAGUCACUUGUGAAAUCUCCGGGCUUAACUCGGAACGGUCAAGUGAUACUGUCGGACUAGAGUACAGAAGGGGCAACUGGAAUUCUCGGUGUAGCGGUGAAAUGCGUAGAUAUCGAGAGGAACACCUGCGGCGAAGGCGGGUUGCUGGGCCGACACUGACGCUGAUGCGCGAAAGCCAGGGGAGCGAACGGG